UGAGGAGACGCUCCACGUCGAAGGGAGCCAAUUGAAGGCAUGGCUCUGAAGGGCGGGCUUAGGAAAGCCUCGAGCUCUGCAGUGCUAAAGAAUGGGGUUUGGCCCCGCUUUAACGCCAAGGUCUCAGGAUUCCAUAAGGUGGAGUCAUGGCAGUUAAAAUUCUCUGUCCAGGGUGACCAGAUGUCGUAACCACAAAGGAGGUCAAGAUGCUGCAGAAGAAUCAUAAAGAUAUAAGGCGACUUGAAGGUUUUGACAAGCCAUAAAUCUGAUCUGGACUCAGUUCUGCAAUCCAAGUGUGACUCCCUACCUUCUUGAUGCUCAGCAGUAGAGGACUCACCC
Long non-coding RNA from Sceloporus undulatus (fence lizard), 339 nucleotides. RefSeq lists it as uncharacterized. The record is from RefSeq and is a predicted model, not a curated record. Lineage: Eukaryota; Metazoa; Chordata; Lepidosauria; Squamata; Phrynosomatidae. The transcript is spliced from 3 exons.